RNAcentral lists this ribosomal RNA (443 nucleotides) under uncultured bacterium. RNAcentral's name for it is "partial 16S ribosomal RNA". It matches the Rfam family "Bacterial small subunit ribosomal RNA", at positions 338 to 795 of the family's 1533-position model. The record is from RNAcentral.
CCUACGGGAGGCAGCAGUGGGGAAUAUUGGGCAAUGGGCGCAAGCCUGACCCAGCAACGCCGCGUGAAGGAAGAAGGCUUUCGGGUUGUAAACUUCUUUUAUCAGGGACGAAGCAAGUGACGGUACCUGCUGAAUAAGCCACGGCUAACUACGUGCCAGCAGCCGCGGUAAUACGUAGGUGGCAAGCGUUAUCCGGAUUUACUGGGUGUAAAGGGCGUGUAGGCGGGAGUGCAAGUCAGAUGUGAAAACUAUGGGUUCAACCCAUAGCCUGCAUUUGAAACUGUAAUUCUUGAGUGCUGGUGAGGCAAUGCGAAGUCCGUGUGUAGCGGUGAAAAGCGUAGAUAUACGGAGGAACACCAGUGGCGGAGGCGAGCUACUGGAACAUUACUGACGCUCAUGCACGAAAGCGUGGGGAGCAAACAGGAUUAGAUACCCCGGUAGUC